This 253-nucleotide ribosomal RNA is filed under the name uncultured bacterium. RNAcentral's name for it is "partial 16S ribosomal RNA". It matches the Rfam family "Bacterial small subunit ribosomal RNA", at positions 524 to 776 of the family's 1533-position model. The record is from RNAcentral.
UACGUAGGGUGCGAGCGUUGUCCGGAAUUAUUGGGCGUAAAGAGCUUGUAGGCGGUUUGUCGCGUCUGCUGUGAAAAUCCGGGGCUCAACCCCGGACUUGCAGUGGGUACGGGCAGACUGGAGUGUGGUAGGGGAGACUGGAAUUCCUGGUGUAGCGGUGAAAUGCGCAGAUAUCAGGAGGAACACCAAUGGCGAAGGCAGAUCUCUGGGCCGUAACCGACGCUGAGGAGCGAAAGCAUGGGGAGCGAACAGG